Tyto alba (common barn owl) is the source of this 5790-nucleotide long non-coding RNA. RefSeq lists it as uncharacterized. NCBI's taxonomy places the organism in Eukaryota, Metazoa, Chordata, Aves, Strigiformes, Tytonidae. The record is from RefSeq and is a predicted model, not a curated record. The transcript is spliced from 4 exons.
GGGGGCGCGCCCGCUCCGGCGCUGCACGUGACCGCGGGCGCCGUCAGGGGCGCUCGCCGUCCCGCCGCGACACCCCCCCAGCUUCGUGUUUCGCGUGGGCUCUGUCCCGCCGGUUCCUCCCGCGCCCGCGCCCCCCCCCCCCCUUCCCCCUCGCUCCGGGCCCAGUUUCCUCCGCCCUGUCCUCAGGCCGGGCCCCCUCGGGGCGGGCUGCCCGGGGCCGGUUGCCCGCGGGCCCCGGCGUUGGAGGAAGGGCCAGCGGCCGGGAGCGAUUUUUGCCCGUGGAACGCGGGGCGUGCGGAGGCGGCUCCGCCCGGCCCGGCCCGGCCCGGCCCGGCCCGGCUCCACCGCUGCGCGGGCGGGCGGGAGCGCGGCCGCUGGAGCUGCGCGCUGGGCCGCGGAGGAGCCGAAGCGCGACCCGGCGGGUGCGCGGGGACCCCUCGGGUGGGAGCCGGGAGAUGACGCGGGGGUUGUUGGUCUCCCACGGGAAGACGGGCGUGCCAGGGUGUCAGCCCGCGCCCGGGAGAUACUUUCAGCCAGUGCAGCAGCCAGGCAGGCUGGAUACUGUGACCAAGAGGAAAUGUCUUCAAAAGCAAGGUUUAUUGCAGUUCUUAGCUGCAUAAACAGAAGAAUGUCAACGGUAAAGGGAGAUGAAUUGUACAGGACAUUGAUGGAACCCUAUUGAAAAUGACUCCGUGAAAAGCCCUAGAAAUAGCGACAGUAGAAAAUGUAUCACUGGUAUGUGUUCAGAAUCUAUUUUAGGUUGAUUUAUUCAAAAAGGAUAUCAUAAUAUGCAGCUGAGCCUCAGAAGAUUUGAAAGACUGGAAAGGACUGUGUUUGUCGUGGAGGAAUAUACACAGUAAUAACCUACUUACUUGGGGAUUAGAUGCUACUUUCAAUGUUUGUUUAUUGCUUAGGUCUCAAAUUCAAAACCAGUAUUUCUGUUGUAUAAAUGGACAAGCUACAGCACAAGGUAAAGUAACUUGACUAUUUUAUUGUUUUCUUCUAAUUGCUACGUGAAAGUUCUACACUAUUGUUUUUUUUCUUGCCUUCUGUUUCUGUCCUCCUAGACAGGUCUCAGUACAUGUUUCAAUUAGUAGCCUUAAUUUAAAAAGAGGUGUGAUAGCUGGCAUUAAUAAGAAUACAUAAUUUGAAAGCAAAGUAAAAAUAUUUUUGGCAAGAUUCCUUUUCUAGUUGUAUUAUUCCGAAAGAAUUAACUAAAUCAAAGCAUGCUUAGAAGUAUUUACAUCUCAGUGUUUACUGAAACAAGAGUCAGAUCCUAUGUUAAAACUGGUAUGAUUCCAAUUCUUAGCUUACUGAAGGAAAUGUAUAAUUUGAAUUUUUGCUAAUCAUUUUAAAGAAGUGUCUUGAGGUCCUUACUGGGCCCAAACCGAUUUUCUUUUCAAGCUUUAUGUGAUAUAUAACAUAAGGAGAGAACUGUAAUGUCAGGUAUAGAGAAUUUAAACAAGGUUAUUUUUCUGUACAAGUACGCUAAAUUAAAAGAUGUACCUGAAGCAACAAGGGUAAAAAGUCACUAGUAGUGCUGCAGAAAAAGUAGAGCUUGAGACUGCUAUAUAUAUCCUCAAGAUAAAGAAUGGAGUUAAUUAUAAAUGUGGAAAUGCUUUUGAUGAGAUCCCCCCCAAAAAAGGGUAUCCUUCUGUGUAUUCUUGGGCCCGUAUCAAAUGCCUGUUCACAUUCUAAUCCACUUUCUGAAUCCCGUGGUUUUCUUCCCAUAAUACUGUGGCUGUAUUCAGUUCAGUUGUUGCUGUUUUGCUUGUUUAUGUUUAUAUAGCAUUCCAUAGGAAACAUCUCACAACAGUUUCUACUUCAUACCUAAAGAAUUCCCCAUUAAUUGCAGCAAUUGUUGGUAUUAUCAAAAGCAUGCUAAACACAACAGGUUAAAACAAGAAAUGAAGACUACAACUGAUACUGCAGGAAAAAUCUGUGUAGGCAGCAGUAGUCAUCACAGAUGGGAUUCAUUCAGUAUACUGCUGUUAGUUCUGCCACCCACAUAAUCCCUAUUAUCAUUUCCUAGCAAACACACUUCAUUAGCUCUGCAGAAAUCUCUAUUGCCUGUUCCAGCAUCUAGCUGAAGUUACUAUUAUGAUACAGAUAUCAAACAGUUCAAUGUUGCAUCAAUUAAAGAAAGUUACUUUAGGUUUUUGAAGCUGAUAAUAAUUAAAAGUAUAUUUUCAUUUGAUGACAAACAAUAUGAUUUGAAGAACCACUACCAAAUUCAUCCUUUACUACUAAAUGUAUUCUUCCUGCAAGUAUUGAGCAUUCAUAUAUUGUGGUACAGCUGUUCUCCCUGUUCCCUACUUAUUUGUUCGUUUGUCCCAAUUAAUUGAUACUAUUAACUCCAGAAAGAGAUGUGCUGUCACAGCUCAAGGGAGCAAGGUUCUGCCUUUUUGCUGAAGCAUAAGCUGACAUUUCUGAUUUGUAUACAGGGUGGAGUUCUGCAUUCUUUAUACUCCUGUGUGUGUUGACAGUGAUGACAGUUCAUAGGGGAGAGACAGUACUUUGAUCAUGUGUGUAGCUGGGUAUGAGAAGGAAGCUUGCACUGAAUUAUUGUAAGAGACACAAUAACUUAGGAAAGCUCAGUGAAUGAAUGGGAAGCUAGGAAUUUUGAUUCUUCUGCCUCUUUUUCUACAACCCCCCCUAAUGCUAAUGUGCUGUAAUGCAAAUUAAAAGCAGCUUUGAUGUAAACACGAUCAGAAGAUGGACCCAAAAUAAAACAGAAAAAAACCCUGAGUGUUUGUUUUGUUAUUUUAGACGGGAAAAUCCCCUAAAAUUAUGAAAAAUUGCCUGAUCAGAUUCACAAAUAGUUUUAUCAGUGCAACUAUGAGGAGCAAGGCACUGUGGUAUAGGGGUGGAAACUCCACAAGCUGGUGUAGCUGCCAGAGUACUCACACUGUUAAACCACAGUCAAAGACAUCAUAGUAUCCUUAGCACAACUUAAUUAUAACUUCCAAAUACUCCACUCUUGUGGUGGUCAGUUCAUUUUGAGUUAUUGUUUCCAAGUAGUUUGCCUGCAGCAGUGAAGUAGACUACAGGAAUUUCUUGUUUACAAGUUCUUCAUAAAUUACCAAAUCGGAGUCACAUGGCUUAAUAUUCUUAAAGAGAAUAUUAGCUGCUCAAUGGUAGUUGCUAAAGGUCACAGAAUUACACUAUGAAGAGCCUGCUGUUCAAGCACUAUCUUGUCAUGUCUUGUUCUACCCUUUACCAAAUUGCUAACCAACAUAUUUAACGCCUCAGGGAAUCUCCAUCUUCCUACUCUUUCCUUCCUAGUAGCUUUACAGAUUUCCAUGAAUGAAACAAUAGAGAUCUCACACAUUGAUUUCCUCGGUUUCAUUUCAGCCAUCUGGUGGUGAUGUCACGUAUAAUCACCUGGGUCUAACAAGCACCUGAUACUUUUCCUUCCUUGGGGACUGAAUUCAAUACACAUGUACAUACCAGCUCUGUAUCAGGCUCUAUUUGUACCACAAACUGGUUUGCUAUCAUGAAUCAGAUAAGGAGGAGCCCAGUUCAGCUGUUUUAGUUACUUUAGAUCAUUUCCUGCAACUUUACUCAUCCUCCCAAUUAACAUGAAUACACAUUUGGUGUUUUUCCCAAGUUAGCCAUUAAUAAGGUUAAGUAGGUUGGGCCCUGUGACUAAUGUUUCCUUAGCUCUGACUGUAUUUUGCUGCUCCCCUAGAGUAUUCCAUACUACUUGAUUAGCAUGCAGGGGAUACUCCAAGAUUCCUAAUUAUAGGACAACACUUGAGAAUGUUCUAGAAACCUCAGAGCUCCACAAUAAGAAAUCCUGGCCAUAAGUAGGGUCCAGCUGGGAGGGGCAAACAGAGAACUUGUAUUGAAAAAAGACCACAUCUUGCAUUAGCAUUGUUAUUAUUAAUACAGCUCCCUACUGCUGAGCUUUUAUGUUCUGUAUCAAUUCAAAACCAGAGAAUUACCAAUGCCACAGCAAAACUUGGUCAAGAUGGCAGUGCAGUAAUUGGGUGAGGCUUUUCAACCCCUGUAGGAGUUUGUCGUUCCACUAACACUGCAAAGGUAGUAAACAGUCACUUUGUCAUUCCUGAUGCUUUAUCAGAGGCAAGAAAUUAAAAAUGCAGUUGCUGAACUAUGUUACUACAAAGUUUAAAUGUAAUGCUCUCGUUUUAGAAAUGUCAACAAUAUAAAGAGGCAGCAGCUAAAUGGAAACAACAUGAUCCAUCAAUGAGCAAAACAAAUAGUGAGUUCUACUUCUCAUUCUUCUGCGGUGAGAAAACACUGAAAAAUCCAUACAGAAAUGAUGAAAGGGAUGAAAGAAUCAGCUAAAAUAUCAAGGGAAGAUGCAACAAGGAAAUCUCCAGAAGGUGGAAUAAAUGUCAAGAAUGCAUGAAAGAUGUCAUCUGUUCUUUUCAAAUUGAGAAUGCUAUACCUGCCUUUUUAAAAAAAGCUUCCAGAGAAAUAGGACUGCUAAUUUUAAUCUACUCAUAGUAGGUAUAGCUAUAAAUUUUGAAGGAAGUAAAGGCAACACGGUGUUUGGGAUGUUUACCAUCAGCAGGUAAGGUUAUCAAGCACCUCAGCAGUCAAAUACAAAAUAUUUAAGUUAUGGCCAGAUACUGCAGUCAGAGAGAUUGAAAAGCAAAACUUUAAUCAAGUUGAAAGAUGUUUCAGUGAAGUAGUUAAAAAGAUGUAUGUAAGCAUUAAGUCAUUAAAAUUACUUAAGUCUCUUAAUCUUCUCAAAAGCAGAUUAGGCUAAAUUUAAACAAAACAUGACACGAAGUCCAAUUUGGUUUUAUACGUUAUGUAUCCUUGGUACAGAAUUCAGAAUACAGUUCUAAAAACUGAUUUUUGUAAGAUAGCACAGGUUCCUAGAAUCUCCAAAAUACAAUACUAGCUAUGGAAUUACUUUAACAGCUAUCUGCAAAACCCACUAAUGACCCAUCCUAGUAACACAUAUAUUACUUAUAAAUUUUGAGAAAAAAGGAAAACUCUUUUCAAGUCAGUUAAAUGUUUAUGCUCAUAUUAACUGCUGCCACGGCGUGUGAUUUCAUUAUUGCCUUUAAAUUCUGAGAUUUUCAUGAGUUCAGGGAGCAGAUAUAAUAAUUUUCUCAUACAAUAUGGGCAUGUAGUUACUUAGUCCUUUAUAAAAUUUGUGACUUCAGUAGAGGUAAGGAAUUAUUCUGAAAGGCUCUUCCUUUAUAUGAAGGACAAAAAAAAUACAGUUGCCAAUAAUGUAGUGUUUAAAAAUCUCUGUAAGCAUCUUGCAUGGUGUGUUAAUAAAAAUACAGCUGUUGCUUUUACUUCUGCAAGGUUUAAAAACUCUUUAAAAAAAUGUAAGGUUUUAAAAAGAAUUUUUUGUACCCUUAAUUGCUGUACCACCAGUUGACAAAACGCUAAGAAUUAAGUCCUCACACUGGACAUACUAUUAAAUGACAUUUUAAAAGUAAAUGGAGUAUUUCAAAAGUUCUAGCCAAAAAAAAGAUACCAUUAGGAAAAAAAAAAAAAAAAAAGGCUUAGUGCUACUGUAACAAGUGUUGGCUAAUUCUAUUAAGUUUGGUUACAGAAAUCUGGGGUUUUUUUCAAAGUAUUACUGAAAGAAUUUCACAUGGAACUUGGAAGAAUUGUAGAAAACAAAAAAUGCUUAUUGUAAAAAUUAGGUUAACAGUACACUCCGCAUACUUUGUCCAACAUGUUUAAUUCCUUGUUGCUCAAUGAAUUUAUUCUUUCUGUAAUUACAGCAGAUGGAUCAAGUACAGUCUUAGAAUUAAAUUCCCUAUGGUUGUAACUUGCUUCAUUUACAAUGGCAAA